Ochotona curzoniae (black-lipped pika) is the source of this 107-nucleotide small nuclear RNA. Lineage: Eukaryota; Metazoa; Chordata; Mammalia; Lagomorpha; Ochotonidae. The record is from RefSeq and is a predicted model, not a curated record.
GUGCUUGCUUCGGCAGCACAUAUACUAAAAUUGGAAUGAUACAGAGAAGAUUAGCAUGGCCCCUGUGCAAGAAAGUAUUGGCUUGUCAACUUGAAUUCAGACCUAAA